CAAUGUCAAAUUUAGUAGAGGAUUAGUUCCUAGAAGAGGACUAAAAAGAUCCUUAUCAGUCAGAAAAUGAGCCUGACGUUUUCACUUCGAAAAGAGAUUGUGGAAGUGGUGCCAAUGGUGUCUGAGGUGCUAAAACGAUGGCCUGCCCUGUCUCUUCCUAAUGAGGUAAUGAGUUCAAACACAUUACCAACGUUGACCUUCUCUGUAACAUUCAGCUCAUCAUUACACCAACAUACACCACAUCUUCUGAAAUUGUACAGAGCAAGACAGGGGGCUUUUGGAAAAUAGAUGGAAGAUCUUCUUAACAUGCGUGAUCAACAGACCUCAAAUAUUGUGAAUCACAGAAAUAUUGUGAAUCUCCCUGAAGAUCCUGCAUUGUUUAGAAAAUGUCUGGACACAUCUCCAGCAGACAGACAGACAGACCAGAGGGAUGAAAAUGGGAAUUCCUGUUUUAACGGAGGAUGAUGUCGCCCCUAGCACACUGCCUACCUUUACAAACUUUGCUGUUGUUUUGGAGGAGGUAAUUGUUCUAAAAGACAUUUCAGACCUACAAUCUGCUGUUGCUUACC
Long non-coding RNA from Labeo rohita (rohu), 569 nucleotides. RefSeq lists it as uncharacterized. The transcript is spliced from 4 exons. The record is from RefSeq and is a predicted model, not a curated record. Lineage: Eukaryota; Metazoa; Chordata; Actinopteri; Cypriniformes; Cyprinidae.